GUGACCUCAAAUCAGGUAGGACUACCCGCUGAACUUAAGCAUAUCAAUAAGCGGAGGAAAAGAAACUAACAAGGAUUCCCAUAGUAACUGCGAGUGAAGCGGGAAAAGCUCAAAUUUAAAAUCUGGCA
This 128-nucleotide ribosomal RNA is filed under the name uncultured Cortinarius. Its description in RNAcentral is "partial 28S ribosomal RNA". It matches the Rfam family "Eukaryotic large subunit ribosomal RNA", at positions 1 to 127 of the family's 3401-position model. The record is from RNAcentral. Lineage: Eukaryota; Fungi; Basidiomycota; Agaricomycetes; Agaricales; Cortinariaceae.